UACGUAGGUGGCAAGCGUUAUCCGGAAUUAUUGGGCGUAAAGCGCGCGCAGGUGGUUUAAUAAGUCUGAUGUAAAAGGCAGUGGCUCAACCAUUGUGUGCAUUGGAAACUGUUAGACUUGAGUGCAGUAGAGGAGAGUGGAAUUCCAUGUGUAGCGGUGAAAUGCGUAGAUAUAUGGAGGAACACCGGUGGCGAAAGCGGCUCUCUGGACUGUAACUGACACUGAGGCUCGAAAGCGUGGGUAGCAAACAGG
RNAcentral lists this ribosomal RNA (252 nucleotides) under uncultured microorganism. RNAcentral describes it as "partial 16S ribosomal RNA". It matches the Rfam family "Bacterial small subunit ribosomal RNA", at positions 524 to 776 of the family's 1533-position model. The record is from RNAcentral.